This 1638-nucleotide long non-coding RNA is filed under the name Musa acuminata (dwarf banana). RNAcentral describes it as "long non-coding RNA (MACU_LNC000812)". Lineage: Eukaryota; Viridiplantae; Streptophyta; Magnoliopsida; Zingiberales; Musaceae. The record is from RNAcentral.
AAGACCUUUUGUUGGACAGAUCCAUUUGGGAAGGUGAAGAAUGCCCUCAGGAUCCCGAUCCUUUUGCCUCUCAGUCCAUCCACCUGCAAGAACUGCUUGUAUCCACCUCGAGGUAUGUACUUCGAUGCUGCUUUAGUUGCCACUGCAUCUCGCUGAUCGAAACCCACAAUAGCCUCCAACACUUGCACGGCAUCUGACACCGUUCGACCAAUGGGGCUGCCCACAAGACAUAAUAGUGAGGUUUCUUGUUGUCUUAUUGAUGAGGACGGGGAAGACGAGAGGUGCAACCCCUGCUGAUAAAGCAAGAAGGGCUCUGUUGUCUUACCCGACCGUGUCCUGUCUCGGGGAGAUGGGAACGACGCCGGCCCGGCUGGUGAGGCCGACGGUGGGUUUGAUCCCCGCCACCGAGUUGAAGUCCGAGGGACAAAUGAUGGACCCAUCCGUCUCCGUCCCCAGCGUCACCGUUGCCAUGUUGGCCGCCGCCGCUAUCGCCGAUCCGGUGCUUGAGCCGCACGGAUCCGCCGACAGCACGUACGGGUUCUGCAUUCCUACCGGCGGAUACGUGAACGAGCACCAAGCAAGUGAAGCUCGUGAGGGAUAGGUGAGCGAAUCGAGCAACUUACCCGGCCCUGCCCGCCGCGCGCGCUCCACGAGCUCGGCGCGUCCAGAGAGCGGAAGUUGGCCCACUCCGCCAUGUUGGCCUUCCCCAGGAUUACCGCUCCCGCCCGUCGCAGCCGCCGCACCACCCCCGCGUCGCGUGGCACCUUCGAGCCCAGCAGCGCGAACGAGCCGGCGGUGGUGUUGAGCCGGUCCCGCGUGGCUAUGUUGUCCUUGAGGAGGACCGGGAUGCCGUGCAGGCCCCCGCAAGGACGGCGCCCGCUCCGGCGCUCCCGGUCGGCCAGAUCGGCCUGCCGCAGCGCGUCCGGGUUCACCUCGAUGACGGCGUGGAGGAGCGGGUUCAGGGCGCGGAUCUGCGUCAGGUAGAACUCCACCAGCCGGCGGGAUGUGAGGCUCCCCUCCCUGAAGGCCAGCUGGAUGCCGUCGAUGGUCGCCUCCUGGAACUCGAACCCACGGCAGGGGAAGGUCGAGAGGAGAAGCAGCAGCAGAGCCGUGAAGCGGCAGAUGGAGAACGAGAGGGGGGGCAUCACUCCCAUCUGCAUAUAUCCCACGAUGGAUUAUGCGUGAACGGAGGGCAUCGCGGUUGGAAAUCCGAUACAAAUAGGCGCUCGUGCGAUGAAAUCUAUGAUCCGUUGACCCAAAAGUUUUGUGUGGGCGUGCCUGAUGUUGUUCACCGGCUGCUUGCAUACCCCAUGGAAAUAGCAAGUGGCUUCAUCUCGGAUGCCCUGUUUUCGUGGCAGGUGCUGCUUGGACUCUACCGAUCGCAAACGGAUCGAAGCCUUUUAGUAAAGCCAAGCGGUGGAAUCACUCGUGGAUGGCCGUCUUCCUGGCGUCACACACGGGAAGGUGAGAACUCGAUGAUGAAUGUUGACUGAUCAGAAUAAUCUCCAAGCUCGAAGACGAAGACGAAGACGAAGACGCAGGCCAAGUGGGCUUCUGUCACCUGGUCAAGGCUCGGCCCGAAUGUCCACAAUUCAUUUUAUUUAGGCAAAGUUGCACGCUUAUAUCUAACGAGAGUGA